RNAcentral lists this ribosomal RNA (454 nucleotides) under uncultured Prevotellaceae bacterium. RNAcentral describes it as "bacterial SSU rRNA". It matches the Rfam family "Bacterial small subunit ribosomal RNA", at positions 341 to 792 of the family's 1533-position model. Lineage: Bacteria; Pseudomonadati; Bacteroidota; Bacteroidia; Bacteroidales; Prevotellaceae. The record is from RNAcentral.
ACGGAAGGCAGCAGUGGGGAAUAUUGGGCAAUGGGCGAGAGCCUGAACCAGCCAAGUAGCGUGCAGGAUGACGGCCCUAUGGGUUGUAAACUGCUUUUAACCGGGAAUAACGUUACCUUCGUGAAGGUAAGUGCAUGUACCGGUUGAAUCAGGAUCGGCUAACUCCGUGCCAGCAGCCGCGGUCAUACGGAGGAUUCGAGCGUUAUCCGGAUUUAUUGGGUUUAAAGGGAGCGUAGGCGGGAAGUCAAGGCAGCUGUGAAAUGUCGACGCUCAACGUCUGCGCUGCAGUUGAAACUGGUUUUCUUGAGUGCGUAAGAGGCAGGCGGAAUUCGUCGUGUAGCGGUGAAAUGCGUAGAUAUGACGAAGAACUCCUAUUGCGAAGGCAGCUUGCUGGGCCGCAACUGACGCUGAAGCUCGAAGGUGCGGGUAUCGAACAGGAUUAGAUACCCUGGUA